RNAcentral lists this ribosomal RNA (949 nucleotides) under Monothalamids sp. RNAcentral describes it as "SSU rRNA". It matches the Rfam family "Eukaryotic small subunit ribosomal RNA", at positions 1160 to 1677 of the family's 1831-position model. The record is from RNAcentral. Lineage: Eukaryota; Foraminifera.
AAGGGCACCACAAGAACGCGUGGAGCAUGUGGCUUAAUUUGACUCAACGCGGGAAAUCUUACCGGGUCCGGACACACUGAGGAUUGACAGGCGCUUGCAUAGCGCUGAAGCUCUUUGAGCUUCUGCGCCAUUGCUUUCAAAUAUGCUAGUCCUUUCAUGAUUGUGUGAUAGGUGGUGCAUGGCCGUUCUUAGUUCGUGGAGUGAUCUGUCUGCUUAAUUGCGUUUCACAAGGGACUUGCAUGGCAUACGUUGAGGCAUGGCGCCCCCUCUCCACUGCUGCCUUCGGGAGUUUGUGGGAGGGUGUUCGCGCCUGUCGUCAAUAGCCAACAGUCCCGAAGGCAACGAACGUGACCGCAGCCUCUUGUUACCUCUCUGUUUUCCACUUCGGGGCAGGGGCAGCUUGUCUGUCCCGUGUCCCCGAUGAGAGAGGUAAACUAGAGGGACCGCCGUGUUUUCAAACCGGAGGAAGGUUGCGGCAAUAACAGGUCUGUGAUGCCCUUAGAUGUUCCGGGCUGCACACGUGCUACAAUGAUCAUUGCAGUGAGCAUCUUCACAAGUUCGUGGGAUGUCUGCGCUGAGCCCAUUUUGCCAGCUGGUGCGGAUGCCGCGGCGCAGAGCGCUGCCCAUGGUUCGCUGUGGGUGGCUGCGAUGUGCUGUGUGCACCGCGUCGCUGGCUUUGGGCCUGGCGCGCAUCCGUUAUCACGACACGCCUGCUUCGAAAGUAAGCAGGUAAUCAAUUCGAAGUAAUGAUUUCCUCUCGCACAUCUCAGCGCUUCGGCCGUCGCGGGUUUCGGCCCGUGUCACGGCCGGCGUGUGCUCCAUAACUUCGUGGUGGGGACAGACCCUUGUUAAUUGUUGGUCUCGGUCUCAACUAGGAAUGCCUUGUACGGGUCUUUGGUUCAACAAACCACCCGGAAUAUGUCCCUGCCCUUUGUACACACCGCCCGUC